Molecule: ribosomal RNA, 464 nt
Filed under: Vreelandella stevensii
Lineage: Bacteria; Pseudomonadati; Pseudomonadota; Gammaproteobacteria; Oceanospirillales; Halomonadaceae
Description: partial 16S ribosomal RNA
Rfam family: Bacterial small subunit ribosomal RNA
Source: RNAcentral
CCUCGGGUGGCAGCAGUGGGGAAUAUUGGACAAUGGGCGAAAGCCUGAUCCAGCCAUGCCGCGUGUGUGAAGAAGGCCUUCGGGUUGUAAAGCACUUUCAGUGGGGAAGAAAGCCUUGGGGCUAAUACCCUCGAGGAAGGACAUCACCCACAGAAGAAGCACCGGCUAACUCCGUGUCAGCAGCCGCGGUAAUACGGAGGGUGCGAGCGUUAAUCGGAAUUACUGGGCGUAAAGCGCGCGUAGGCGGUCUGAUAAGCCGGUUGUGAAAGCCCCGGGCUCAACCUGGGAACGGCAUCCGGAACUGUCAGGCUAGAGUGCAGGAGAGGAAGGUAGAAUUCCCGGUGUAGCGGUGAAAUGCGUAGAGAUCGGGAGGAAUACCAGUGGCGAAGGCGGCCUUCUGGACUGACACUGACGCUGAGGUGCGAAAGCGUGGGUAGCAAACAGGAUUAGAUACCCGAGUAGUC